Molecule: transfer RNA, 70 nt
Filed under: Anolis allogus
Lineage: Eukaryota; Metazoa; Chordata; Lepidosauria; Squamata; Anolidae
Description: tRNA-Tyr
Rfam family: tRNA
About the family: Transfer RNA (tRNA) molecules are approximately 80 nucleotides in length. Their secondary structure includes four short double-helical elements and three loops (D, anti-codon, and T loops).
Source: RNAcentral
GGUAAAGUGGCCGAAUGCUAGGCGGUAGGUUGUAAACCUACUAACAUUGGUUUAAUUCCUUUCUUUAUCA